This 379-nucleotide ribosomal RNA is filed under the name uncultured bacterium. RNAcentral describes it as "bacterial SSU rRNA". It matches the Rfam family "Bacterial small subunit ribosomal RNA", at positions 28 to 416 of the family's 1533-position model. The record is from RNAcentral.
GAUGAACGCUAGCGGCAGGCCUAAUACAUGCAAGUCGAACGGUGAUAGUGAUAUCAUAGUGGCGCACGGGUGCGUAACACGUAUGCAACCUACCUUAUACUUAGGGAUAGCCUUUGGAAACGGAGAUUAAUACCUAAUAGUACAUUUGACUGGCAUCGGUUGACUGUUAAAGAUUUAUUGGUAUAAGAUGGGCAUGCGUCCAAUUAGUUAGUUGGUGAGGUAAUGGCUCACCAAGACGAUGAUUGGUAGGGGAACUGAGAGGUUAAUCCCCCACACUGGCACUGAGAUACGGGCCAGACUCCUACGGGAGGCAGCAGUGGGAAUAUUGGGACAAUGGGCGAAAGCCUGAUCCAGCAAUGCCGCGUGAGUGAUGAAGGCC